Molecule: ribosomal RNA, 261 nt
Filed under: uncultured bacterium
Lineage: Bacteria
Description: partial 16S ribosomal RNA
Rfam family: Bacterial small subunit ribosomal RNA
Source: RNAcentral
CUUCUCCUACGGGGGGCAGCAGUGGGGAAUUUUGGACAAUGGGCGUAAGCCCGAUCCAGCUAUUCCGCGUGUGGGAAGACGUCCUUCGGGUUGUAAACCACUUUUGUAGAGAACGAAAAGUCUAUUGAUAAUACCGAUAGACGAUGACGGUACUCUAAGAAUAAGCACCGGCUAACUACGUGCCAGCAGCCGCGGUAAUACGUAGGGUGCGAGCGUGAAUCGGAAUUACUGGGCGUAUAGGGUGUGCAGGCGGUUGUGUCA